This is a long non-coding RNA of Lycium ferocissimum, 1066 nucleotides long. RefSeq lists it as uncharacterized. The record is from RefSeq and is a predicted model, not a curated record. The transcript has 2 exons. Lineage: Eukaryota; Viridiplantae; Streptophyta; Magnoliopsida; Solanales; Solanaceae.
AUUUGGAGUUGGGUUUGUUGGUAACAAACUGCUGCAUUUUGGAUCAUUUGGCUGCUGAACUUCAGGGGCAACCCCCUGAUUGCAUACUAAAGGACGCAAAAAACACCAGCAAACUAAGUUAUUCAAGUUUGCUUGGGAGCAUUAAUCCUAUGAGCGAUCUAGAGUUUAUCAAGCUUUGGCAGAAGAAGAUAUUGAAGUUGUAAGUAGAUGAAAUUCAAAACUAAUGAAUUAUGAAAUAGGGUCACUGGAAAUCAUACCUUUCUUAUACUUGAACAUUUGGAUACUUUUCUCCAUGUUACUUAUAGUUUUUGGUGUAAAGGGUUCUAGCUAUGACGUGUAGAUAAUUGGGAUAUUUUGUUAAAAUGGAUGUGGUUGAACAACACAAGCAUAGUGUAUUGUAUACAUUUUCCAACCAUCUAAGUGCUAUUAAUGCAAUUGAUUAAACUUAUCAAGAAACGAAAGGAAAACAUGAGCGAGAAGGUGUAAACUUGUGGUAUAUGGUAUUAGCUUAGUGCUAGCACCAAUUAACUUGUGGUAUAUGGUAUUAGCUUAGUGCUAGCAGCCAAUUAACUUGUGAUAUAUGCAUUUUGUGGGGCUUGUUUUAGUUUCUUUAUAGUCUAAAGUUUUGGUUUCAAGUCUGUUUUGAUGUUGAUAAGUAAUGAAACAUUAUUGAUUGAGAGUAGUUCUUUCUCAGGAUUAUACGGCUUAAGCUGUAACCGUGAUAAGAUAUCGGAUGGCUAAAGCUCUUUUAAUUUUUGCAAGAUGCCAAGGGCAAUGAUGUUGAUCUCAGUCUGAUAUUGAUCAAUGUGAAGCAUAUUACGAAGCUGCUGGGGGAACAAGGAAGAGAAGAAUAUAUGGUCUUGGAUCUCAAGCACAAAGUUAUCUGCUUUUUGUUGGAAAUAACAAAAUUAUGCACUAACAAUACUUGAUGGAUGUGUGGGUUCUUUUGGUAGUUGAUGACUUGGUGUUGUCGGCGUUUUGGACUUAACGAUUAGGAUUUCGCUAUCUAUUUUGAAUCUUUUUUAUAAAUAUUAUUUUAUGUGAAUGUCAGUUAUUUUUAAGGGUA